CAGUCGCCGCGGUAAUACGUAGGGCGCAAGCGUUAUCCGGAAUUAUUGGGCGUAAAGAGCUCGUAGGCGGUUUGUCGCGUCUGCCGUGAAAGUCCGGGGCUCAACCCCGGAUCUGCGGUGGGUACGGGCAGACUAGAGUGAUGUAGGGGAGACUGGAAUUCCUGGUGUAGCGGUGAAAUGCGCAGAUAUCAGGAGGAACACCGAUAGCGAAGGCAGGUCUCUGGGCAUUAACUGACGCUGAGACGCGAAAGCGUGGGGAGCAAACAGGAUUAGAUACCCGGGUAGUCCCUGUCUCUUAUAC
RNAcentral lists this ribosomal RNA (301 nucleotides) under uncultured bacterium. RNAcentral's name for it is "partial 16S ribosomal RNA". It matches the Rfam family "Bacterial small subunit ribosomal RNA", at positions 509 to 807 of the family's 1533-position model. The record is from RNAcentral.